This 497-nucleotide ribosomal RNA is filed under the name uncultured bacterium. Its description in RNAcentral is "partial 16S ribosomal RNA". It matches the Rfam family "Bacterial small subunit ribosomal RNA", at positions 28 to 507 of the family's 1533-position model. The record is from RNAcentral.
GAUGAACGCUGGCGGCGUGCCUAAUACAUGCAAGUCGAGCGAACGGACGAGAAGCUUGCUUUUCUGAUGUUAGCGGCGGACGGGUGAGUAACACGUGGAUAACCUACCUAUAAGACUGGGAUAACUUCGGGAAACCGGAGCUAAUACCGGAUAAUAUUUUGAACCGCAUGGUUCAAAAGUGAAAGACGGUCUUGCUGUCACUUAUAGAUGGAUCCGCGCUGCAUUAGCUAGUUGGUAAGGUAACGGCUUACCAAGGCAACGAUGCAUAGCCGACCUGAGAGGGUGAUCGGCCACACUGGAACUGAGACACGGUCUAGACUCCUACGGGAGGCAGCAGUAGGGAAUCUUCCGCAAUGGGCGAAAGCCUGACGGAGCAACGCCGCGUGAGUGAUGAAGGUCUUCGGAUCGUAAAACUCUGUUAUUAGGGAAGAACAUAUGUGUAAGUAACUGUGCACAUCUUGACGGUACCUAAUCAGAAAGCCACGGCUAACUACGUG